Long non-coding RNA from Centruroides sculpturatus (bark scorpion), 427 nucleotides. RefSeq lists it as uncharacterized. The record is from RefSeq and is a predicted model, not a curated record. Lineage: Eukaryota; Metazoa; Arthropoda; Arachnida; Scorpiones; Buthidae. The transcript has 5 exons.
AGAAAUAAACUAUAUAACAUUAACGUUAAACUGCUAGAGGAAGAUGUGAUUGAAUGGAGAUCGGAAGAAAAAAAUCAAUAUGUAUGCAUACAGAAUCAUAAUCCAGCAGACGAAUGCCAUAAUUAUUUGAGGGUAUUUGUUGAAGUAACACUCGAAAUCUUUUUGAUAUGCGGAACAAAUGCUUAUGAUCCAACAUGCAGAGAAUACUUAAUUAGUAAUGGAGAGAAAAAAGUAACUGAAGAAUUUUCUGCUAGAGGAAUAUGUCCAUAUAGUCCACAUUUUAAUGUUACUUCAUUAGAAGCAAAUGGGUUAUUUACAGCUACUUAUGAGUGGGAUUAUGGUCCUUAUCCAAUAAUAUCUAAAAAAACACUUCAACCGAAUAUUCAAAUAAGAACGCCACAUAAACAUUUAAGUCACUUAAGUGAAA